Molecule: long non-coding RNA, 7505 nt
Organism: Bactrocera neohumeralis
Lineage: Eukaryota; Metazoa; Arthropoda; Insecta; Diptera; Tephritidae
Exons: 4
Source: RefSeq, a predicted model, not a curated record
UUGUUUAGUUACGCUGCUUACAUUUGUACACACAUGUAUACAUACACAUAUUGUACUCAUAAUUUUCUUUACUUCUGUCAAUACUCAAAUCUUCUAAAGAGUAAUUAUGUAUAUACAUAUGAACAACUUUGCAAAUAAAUCACUCGCUAAUAAACCGUGAACAAGAGCACACUGCACUUGUAAAUUGUUUUACAUCCCCGCAUUUUUAAAAUAAUAAAAUAAAGCAAGAACAACGCAUUUUGGCGUCCAACGUGGGGCAGUGUAAAAUAAGUUCACUUUUUUUGUGCAAAAGUGUGAAAAACUUUGUAAAAUUCAAAUUGUGAUUAUUAUACAAUAGUUGCAUCAAUUGCUGUAAAAAAUUUACAUAUGUACAUAUGCACGUCCAACAAACAGUUUAGUGAAGCAACAUAAAUAUAAAUUACAUUCGCUGUUGUUGGUGGGUCCCAGGACUGAUAUUCGUUUAUUUUCACAUAACUGGUUUGCGAUCGGAUGAUUUGUCUGGUGAGAUUUUAAGCAUUUCUUCUGUUGCUGAAAUUACCGCUCAUUGGAAAGCGUACGUAUAAAAACAAAUUACUUUAUCAUCAUACAUACGUUUAUCCAAUUACAUCCAUACAUAAUUCGCUAAAUCGCCGUUUGGAACAUUUUGGUUAACGGAGUUGCACUCGCUGCCUUUGUUAGCAGAUCAUCGCAUACUCAGCAUAGGUCAGCGCCUUUACAGCUCUGCUCAGCUGAACGUUCAUAGCUCUGCCGGCACUUGAAAGCGUCGCCCGCUUGGUCGCUGCACCGUUGCUGCUGUUCUGUCAACGCAACUAUUCUGAGAGCUCUGCUGCUAGCAGCAGUUAUUAUCGCGCUUUAUUAGUUAUUUGCAUUUUCUACAUUUUUUGCUGCCUGCACUAAAUGUUAGUGAGACAUUGUAUAGUGAGACAACGCAUUGUUAGUGAGCAGUAUACAACUUCUUUUUUUGCCGUCGCUAUUACUGACCGCUGGUAAUUAUUCUCUUCGCUUUACAUUAAGGGUGUACAAAAGUAACGUAAAAAGAAUAAUGUCUCUUGAACACUCCAAACGCAAACGUGCUAAUAUAAAACGCAAUAUAUCACGUAUUAAAUCUAUAGUUGAGGGAUCAAAAGACUUUGAUGAAAAGCCUUCACAUGCGGAGUUGCAAUGCCGACUGGGAAUACUAGAGUCAUACUUUAAGCAAGCACUCUCAGUUCAAGCUGACAUUGAAGAUUUGGAUCCAUCAGACACAGGUCGCGCAGAUUUAGAGGAUAGCUAUGUCACAGCCAAACUUUGCAUUCAAGCACAACUUGGGGACGAAGGAAACGUUACAAUUAAUUACCCCGAGACAACAGCUCCAACACCUGUUUCCACGCCAUCAUUCUUGCCAAGGUUGUCGCUGCCUACUUUCAGCGGGAAUUAUGCAGAAUACAAAAACUUUAUUGCGUCUUUUACUCAACUUGUCGCUCGGGAACCUAGACUAUCAAAUAUAGAACGAUUCAAUUAUUUGUUGUCGUGUCUUAAAGGUUCAGCCCUGGAAACCGUAAGAGCCUUCCAGGUAACCAGCGAAAACUACCCGAAAGCUUUAGAUAGACUCAGGGAACGCUUCGAUAAUGCCACUUUGAUUUUUUUUAAGGAGUUGCCUCCUUAUUUACGCUGCAAACAGCCGGUAAAUCAAACUAUCAACAAUUACGUAGUUUGAUUGACAAGGCAUCAGCUAUAUUCAGCUCGUUAGAAUCGUUGGGCACGAGCUCCAAUAUCGCACAAGCAAUGCUGAUUUAUAUUGUCAUUAGAAAAUGUGAUCAGCAAACUCGCAACAAAUGAAAUGAAUCGCUAGCCUACAAAUCGCUUCCAACUUGGAUACAAUGCACCCAAGUUUUAGAACGCCAUUGUCAGUUUUUGCAUUCAUCCGACUCCUCGUCACAUCAUAAGUUCGAGUCCACCAAACGAAUUCGGAUUACAACCCGUGGACAAAAUUCAUCAUUCGCCAUCACUAGCCUUCUUAAGUUCUUUGCUCUAGCGAUAAACACAAAAUCAUUGGAUGCUUUCAAUUUAAGGACAUGAACACGAAUCAACGCUACGAUGCCGCCAAGAAAUACGACCUCUGUAUCAAUUGUCUGAGCAAUGGUCACAGAGUAGCUCAGUGUGCGUCGAAGCAUCGCUGCCGCUCCUGUAACAGAACGCAUCAUACGCUCUUGCAUCAUGACAACGCGACUCUGCCUACACUUGCACGUCCAACAUCUCUUCCUGUUUCGCAAUCGUUUCAACCAUCAUCAUCAUGUUCAACCAAACCUCAUACAUACAACCAACUAGCUGCCACGCAUUCGCAUAUGGAGACAUCGGAUCACGGGCAGGUCAUUUUAGCAACAACUUUAGUUUUAGUUAAAGAUUCAACGGGUGCGUACAAGCUUGGAAGAGCCCUUCUCGACUCAUGUUCUCAAGUGAAUUUCAUGACCGAUGAGUUCGCACAAAGGCUUCACCUUCGUGGAGAAAAGUAUUACAUUGGCAUUCGCAGCAUAUGUGACUCAGUUAUCAACCUUAAAGCUCGAACCACCACAACAAUUAAGGCACGUACAUCAGCAUUUCAACUUUCGCUCCAGUUUGGUAUCACACCCCAUAUUGCAUACCAACCUGACGCUGAAGUUGACACAUUAAACUGGAAUUUGCCAGCCAACACAACUUUGGCUGACGAAACGUUCUUCAAACCUCGACGCAUCGAUCUGUUGCUUGGAACAGAGGCAUUUUUUGAAGCUCUCGCUGUUGGUCAAAUAUAGAUUGGCCAAAAUUUACCUACAUUGCAAAGAACAUUAUUUGGCUGGGUGGUUUCUGGAAGAUACCAGUCCAAGCACUAUACGCCUUCAAAGUCAUGUCUGCUAUUUCGCGAAGACUCUGUUGACGCAAACAUGCAACGCCUUUGGGAGCUCGAAACUGUCGACUGGAAACCCAACCCUACUUCACCUGAUCAUCGGAUUUGUGAACGUCAUUUUAUAGCCACAACACAUCAAGAUACUACUGGACGCAUAAUUGUGAGGCUGUCAUUUAAGGACAAUCCCGCUGCACUUGGAGCCUCAUUCGACAUCGCUCGUCGCCGAUUCUUAGCAAUAGAACGCCGUCUGUCGCAUUCGCCAGACACUUAUUCCCAGUACGUCUCGUUCAUCGAAGAAUACGAACGUCUUGGUCACAUGUCUGUAGUAAAAGCGCCGAAAUUAGAUGAACCACACUAUUACAUACCACAUCACUGCGUACUGAAACCUACAAGCACAUCAACAAAGUUUUCGACGCCUCUUGCCAAACUACGACACAAACAUCGCUAAAUGACUUACUUUUAGUUGGACCAACUAUCCAAACAGAGCUGUACAUGUUGCUUCUGCGCUUCCAUUUAUAUCGUUACGCUAUCACCAAAGAUGUCACUAAAAUGUACAAGCAGUAUCCUUGAAUAAAAAUGAUCGGAAAUUUCAUUACAUUCUUUGGCGAGCUUCUGCAGACGCAGAUCUUCUCACAUACCAGCUCAACACUGUGACAUAUGGUACCGCCUCAGCCCCAUAUCUAGCAGUGCGAAGCCUUCACUACUUAGCAGAUAAGCAUAUGGCAGAAUUUCCAAUUGGCGCCGCGGCUGCAAAGACUUUGUUCUAUGUCGAUGAUUUUCUAUGUGGUGCGGAUGACACAGAUGCCUUACACACAUUAAAGAAAGAAGUUAUUGAGAUACUUCGACGCGGACAGUUUCCUCUAUCCAAGUGGCAUUCCAAUCACCCAGAUUUCAUGGAAGGCCAAACUAUGAAAGAACUAGGCAUUACUGACGAUUUUACAUCAAUUGCACUUGGGAUGACUUGGAAUCAACGCAACGACAAGUUGUUAUUUUCAUUCACACCAAAGCAAGUUCACAAGUCUGUCACAAAUACUGUCUAUCGCUUCAUCGCUGUUCGAUCCACUUGGAGUGCUCUCACCACUCGUGAUAACCUCAAAAAUAAUUAUGCAGGAAUUGUGGCUGCUAAAAUUAGAUUGGGACGAGUCGGUUCCCCAACAUAUACACCAAGCCUGGAAUUGUUUCUUAGCAUCUCUAAACACGCUUUCAUCACUCAGCCUGCCUCGUUUUGUCUGCUACCAAAUGCUCGCGACAUACAGUUGCAUGGUUUUUGCGACGCAUCAAUUCGGGCAUACGGUUCGGCGAUUUACAUACGCAUAGAAGACUCCGACGGAAAAGUUGCUGUGCAUUUAUUAACGUCGAAAUCUAGGGUCGCACCAGUAAAAAAGCAGUCUCUUCCAAAACUCGAACUUUGCAGUGCCCACCUUCUCGCUUGCCUGUACGCUAAGAUAAAGAACAUAUUCACCUCUGUUAGCAUAACUACUUUCUUUUGGACUGACUCGCAACUAGUUCUACAUUGGGUAAAACAACAGUCUGUUACGCUGUCAACGUUCGUGGGCAACAGGGUAUCUGACAUAUAGGAAUUGACCACAGGUGGACAAUGGAGGUAUGUGUCUUCCAAAGAGAAUCCAGCCGACCUAGUAUCUCGAGGCUGCCCUGCUGCUGAACUCAAAUCUUCGAUAUGGUUUUCUGGUCCUCACUUUUUGCAAGAAAACGCAAUGAAAUGGCCAAGACACACAGGCAAUAUUGAGCUUGACAUGGAUAUUGUGAACAGAGAAAAACGCAAGAAGACAUUUGCUAUAGUUAAGGAGGUAAAUUACUUGAUCGAUGUCAUUGAUGGCAUAAGCUCGUAUCUCCAUUGUCUGCGUCUCAUCGCCUGUCUCUUUCGGUUCAGUGAUAAAUGCAGACGAAAGCCUACGACAAACACCAUUUCCUGACGAAUUACGAAGUGCAUCAUAUUGCAUUAUUUUUAACAUUCAGCAACAACAUUUUUCAAACGAUAUUCAAUUGCUUCGAAAAAACCAAGCCCUAAGGAGUAACUUGAAGUUUCUCACACCAUUCUUGGACAACGUUGAACUCAUAAAAGUUGGCGGACGUCUAGAUUAUGCAGAUUUACCCAACUCGCAGAAACAUCCGAUUCUACUACCCAGCGAUUCCCAAUUUGUACUAAAGUACGUUCGACACCUACAUUUGCGAAAUUUUCAUGCAGGCCCAAAGGCAUUGGUCGCCUUCAUCAGAUUAGAAUUUUGGAUUGUCAACGCUAGAGAUGUUGCUCGUCGCAUCGUUCGUUCCUGUGUGCAUUGUGUUCGUUACAAGCCAGUGCUGUUACAACAGGUAAUGGGCCCACUACCAGUUACACGUAUUACACCUGCACGCCCAUUUGAACGUUGCGGAAUCGAUUUUUGUGGACCAAUUAACACAUAUCUUCGAAUUCGAGGAAAACUACCCACCAAGUCAUAUUUAGCUGUAUUCGUGUGCCUCGUAACUAAAGCUGUGCACAUCGAGGUGGUCAUCGAGUGGUCGCCGUAAAAUGCCAUGUGAUAUCUUUUGCGACAACGCUACCAAUUUUGUGCGCGCAUCUAACCAGUUAAAGGACCUCAAACAGUUCUUAUCCAAGACUGAAACUGAAAUCUAUAAAUAUUGUUCCUCUGAUUUUAUUAAUUUCCUUUUUAUUUCACCCAGGGCACCUCACUUCGGCGGCCUCUGGGAAGCUGCGGUGAAGAGCGCGAAAGGGUUGUUAAAUCGCACAUUGGCAAACACUAAAUUGACAUUCGAAGAGUUAAGCACCGAUGCUGUAGAAGUAGAAGACAUUCUCAAUUCACGUCCGCUAUGUUCAAUGUCAUCAGAUCCCAACGACUUUGGUGCACUGACAGCUGGUCAUUUUUUGGUCGGUGAUUCUUUGCGUGGAUUGCCUGAGCGCUCACUGGAGCUGAAGACCGUUUUACACCUUGAUCGCUACAACACAAUUACUGCCAUCAAAAAAAGUUUUUGGCGCCGCUGGUCUGUGGAUUAUAUAAACGAACUACGAGCCCCUGUAAAGUGGACAACACCUUCACUUGAUCUCACUAAGGGUGCUUUAGUGGUCAUACAUGAUGACAAUCUGCCACCGCAACGUUGGAGAUUAGGUCGAGUCGAAUCAACCGUGCUUGGACGAGAUGGCCAUGUUAGAGUGGUGAAUCUCCGAACUGCCAAUGGAACUCUUUGUAGGCCAAUACAUAAAUUAGCCAUCCUUCCGAUUUCUUGAAAGAAAGUUCUUUCAACGGGGGCCGGGAUGUUGGGUCACCCUAAUGACAUGGCCCGUGCUCCGGAUAAAAGUAUGCUGAUGUAAGUUGCGGGAGUGAUUACACAAUGUUUGGUGGACGACAAAAUCAAAUUUUCCUCAUUAUUUUGUGUAUGAACUCAAUUGUUUGUAAUGCGAUAUAUUGGAGUAUCCUCUUACCGGAAAUGGGGUUACAAUAUCCGGCGUUGAAAUUUAAAUUAAAAAUACAUCUACGCUCCUAGGUAUUUAUUGCAGUAUUUAUUUUCUAAUACAUAGUAUUAUUAGCGCGAAAAGACGAUGUUAAAUUAUUUAUGCAGUUAUAAUUAUUAAACACUUGUUAGCAGUCACUAUUGUUAUUAUAGUAUUUUGAUUUUUUUAUUAAGCUCUUCAUUGUGUACACCCCGACGAACGUAUGCUCAGUUUAAAUCUAACACAUUCGCUGACCAGAAACUAUUACCAUGCCGCACUCUUAGCUAUUUCAUUUAAAAUAGCUGCGUAUCAACCUGCACUAUAGCUUCGUGUCUCAUAACUUCGAAUCCCCUACUCGAACAGUUUUGGAAAAAGGUGUAAGAAAAAUAAAGUUCGUAAGCGGUUCCGCAAGCGCACAUUUAAUAAAGCUUAAAUGAAAUUUCUCCAUCCCCAUUCCACCUCGCCGUGCCCCAACAUUGUAUCGCAAAAACAACAUCAGCAAUAAUAGCAUAGCACACUACGAUCAGCCACAACGUAACGCCACCAAUGACCAAAAGUGUGCAACGUAAAAAGAAAAAAAACAUGUAAUGCUCAUAAAAGUAAAAUUGGUUUCGAAAACAGUGGAAAAGGCCUCACAACACAUGCACCAAUAUUACCGAUCAGUAAUAUCAGAGAGUAUCGGCAAAAAUCCGAAACAUGAAUAUAUUGGUCAACAAACAACAGAGACUACCACCUGUAUGUAUGCAUAUUCAUAAGUACAUGUGGAAAUGUAAAGUGGAAAUAGUUGGAUGUCUCAUGGGAUCUGGUGCGUUGGAUGGUCCGGCAUUUGAAGGCGCAUUACCGUAAAACCAGUGACUGGCUCGCGUCAACGGGCGCAGGACUUCAAGAUGAAUCUGACGCAAGAACCGUAGAAGCUGAGGAAAAAAUUUAGAAAGCGGUUACCGGCCACGCAACCGUUACUGAACAGUUGGCGGCUAUCCAAGCUGAAAAAAUUGCUAUGGAAGCGAAAAAGUUGGAAUUUGAGAAAUAUAAAUUCGAAAAAAAUUAGGUACAAAGUUAAAAAAAUUAGAUAUAGAAUUAAAAAAAAAUGGAAACUGAUGAUAAAUAGAAGUUAUUAGAAUUACAAAUGAAAGAAAGAAUGGCUAUGUAUGAAAUUGAAAAAAGUAUGAAAAUAAAAAUAAUUAAAUAUACUAAAUUAUA